CGGUACAGAGGGAUGCCACCCCGCGAGGGGGAGCGGAUCCCGGAAAGCCGGCCCCAGUUCGGAUUGGGGGCUGCAACCCGCCCCCAUGAAGUCGGAGUUGCUAGUAAUCGCGGAUCAGCAUGCCGCGGUGAAUGCGUUCCCGGGCCUUGUACACACCGCCCGUCACACCACCCGAGUCGUCUGCACCCGAAGUCGCCGGCCCAACCGAGAGGGGGGAGGCGCCGAAGGUGUGGAGGGUGAGGGGGGUGAAGUCGUAACAAGGUAGCCGUACCGGAAGGUGCGGCUGGAUCACCUCCUUU
RNAcentral lists this ribosomal RNA (299 nucleotides) under Bifidobacteriaceae bacterium. RNAcentral describes it as "partial 16S ribosomal RNA". It matches the Rfam family "Bacterial small subunit ribosomal RNA", at positions 1235 to 1533 of the family's 1533-position model. Lineage: Bacteria; Bacillati; Actinomycetota; Actinomycetes; Bifidobacteriales; Bifidobacteriaceae. The record is from RNAcentral.